GUGUCCGAGGUCUUGCUCGUUUUCAUACCUGCGGGCAGGCUGAGCCCUCUUCUGCGCUGGAGUUGAUGUCAUGCAAGCGCCGGGGGUACAUGACGUCAUCCGAGCGCGCCUCCCACGGUACCCAAGCCCUGGGCUCAGACAAAGGCGUUGCUGUGGAGACGGGGCUUUGAGCCCCGUCUCCGAUACGAGAUUGGAGGAGAGAGGGUCAGCUGAUGUUGGAUGGUUCCAUUUGUGUGGCGUGAGAAUGACUCAGAAUGCCUUGGAAGCCACCUCCAGAGUCUUGACAAGGAAGAGGACAUGGCACAACCCACGUUCGCACCUCCUAACAGAGCAAUGAGACCGGUGGCUGCUAACACACAUGUCGGAAAGCAGCAUGGAGGAGCCACAGUCCCAGAUGUAAAGACGUAAGCUCUCUCCUCCUUUGACCUCAGCAGGGUUGUUUUAGAAAUACUCUGCUUUCUCUCUCAUCCAAAGGGUCAGUCCCGGGGUCACAGGAGACCUCAGAACAUCUCUGCCCACCGGAGGAUCUAAAGACCCUGUUCGAGUCGAGUCGGAUUCAGAUCACUUCCCUGACAUCCUCCCUCUGGAGUACCACCUGAGACUUCUCUGGUGGUCUAGUGGUUGCAAAUUCAUCUGCCAAUGCAGGGGACAUGGGUUCAAUCCCUGGUCCAAGAAGAUCCCACACACCAAGGGGCAACUAAACCCAUGCACCACAACUACUGAGCCCGAGCACAGCCAAAAAUAAAUAUUUUUGAAAAAAAAAAAAAAAAAGAGCACAACCUGUGUCAGCCCCAAGAUGCUCUAUCCACUCAUUCCUGUGACCCAAACCCCCAGGACUUGCUCAGUGCUGUUGCCUGUUCUAGUCAUCACUGUCAUGUCACCUUCCAAUCGAAAUGGUCUUUUCCCUUGCAUGUGCUUCUGGGAAUUUUUGAACACUAGACUCUAAACAAAGUUCCUUCCUUCACCCCGUCUGGCCUCAUCACCUCAGUUCUCUGUCCAUUCAGUUGCUGCCACCCCAGCCAUCCUGCUUAUUCUUGAACUUAUCAGACACACGUGCAGCUGGAGUCUAGGAACAUGCUGCUUUCUCCAUCUGGAAUACACUCUUUGGGUCAUCCACGUGGCUCCCUCGAUCCCUUCCUUUAGGUCUUCAUCCACGUGCCUGCCAGCCAGUGAGACCUUCCCAACCACGCUCCUCCCCGGACCGCCCCAGCCACCCACCCCUGCGUGUCCUCCUUCCACACAGAUGAUCCCUGGAGCUCUCAUCCGUAUCUGUGACAGCAGCUGCUACCUGUCUGUCCUCUGCCUGCCUCCCUCAUUGGAACACCAGCUCUGUGCGGGCAGGGAUUUGACAUUUUUUUGUCCACUGUCACAGCCCAGUACCUGUAGUAGGGCUUACAUAUCCACCAUAAAGGAGGCUGAGUGCCGAAGAAUUGAUGCUUUCAAACUCUGGUGUUGGAGAAUACUCUUGAGAGUCCUUUGGACAGCAAGGAGAU
This is a long non-coding RNA of Bubalus bubalis (water buffalo), 1493 nucleotides long. RefSeq lists it as uncharacterized. The transcript is spliced from 3 exons. The record is from RefSeq and is a predicted model, not a curated record. NCBI's taxonomy places the organism in Eukaryota, Metazoa, Chordata, Mammalia, Artiodactyla, Bovidae.